AAUUGGAAAAAAGAAGAUGAAAAUACCAGAGGGAAAAUUGUGAAUACUAACAUAAAUAGAUCUCUCUUAUCUUAUAAUUCAAACAUACAUCAAUAUACAAUGAAAUUCCAUUCCCAAGAGACUACAAUUGCUAGUGUUUGGGUAUAGCUCUGGGUCUUUAUAGCUAACAUUGUGUUUUUUAAAACUUAAAUCUAGGUCUAAACUCAGCCCUGGAUUUGAAGACAGAACUGGUUCAAAUUCUGGCUUCCUUACUAAUUGUUAGAUCACGUUGGACAAUUAAUUUCCUCUUGGAGACUCAGUUUCUUCAUCUGUAAAAUGAGAGUGACGAUACUUAUUUCUUAAAAUUGUGGCAAAGAUGAAAAUUAAUGGAAAUAAAGCUGGCAUACAGCGAAUGCCUGCAAGGAGCUUAUUUUGGGGUUGUUACUGUUAGGAACUCCUCACCUGGCUAACUGCUACUCUUCCCGAUCCGGGUCAGAUGCCACUCCUUCGUAGCCUCCCCUGCUUGGCUCCUCCCACACUACUCGCUCCCUCUGUCCUGCGGCUUGUCCUGCAUCUGUCUUUGUGUUAUAGUGCCAGACAAAGCUGCUAUACCAACCUUCACUGGUCCAACAGAGAGCGUGACCUAGUGUGGGUGUCUAGAAUUAUGGAGAAAGGAUUGGAUAAGAAUUCAUUGAAGGAAUGAAUGAAUUUCAGGGAGAUUACGUGAAUGGAUGAGUGAGUGAGUAUCACCAGGUGUCACCAGCUAGACCAAUCCUCAUUUUCCUAGACCGGGAGAGAAUGCCCCCCUUCCGGCUGUACCAGGUGGUGGGCGGAGUUCUGGCGGCGCCCUGGGGAGAGGCCCCGCCCCUCACCGCGGCGCGUCGGGAGGCGGAGCCCUUCAAGGCCUCAAGGAUGACAGUUCCUGCAGGCAGCCACUGCAGCAGGUCUGUGGGAUCUGAGCGGGUCCUGCCAGCCCCAGGGCUAAAAGGAAAACACAAGAAAAUGAAGCACCUUUUACCUAGAAGAAUGAAGACCACCUAAAUCGACAGCGUACCUGUCUCCUAGAUCCAAGCCCAGAAGAAUCUGUCCUAAAAGUCUUUCUUUAAGGGCCUCUGUACAAGGGGAUGAUUUGAACCACAGCAACUUUACCCCUAAAAGUGCAGCUGGGGCAACUCAACCAGGUCUGAGCAUCUGAAAAGGGACAUCUGUGAGAGAAGUUCAUCAUCGCACUGCCCCAGACAACUCUAAACAGAGCUGCCACAUCCUGGAGACCUCAGAAGCAAGGUGCUCCCUCUGGAGUUAUGAAUAAUUCAAGACCACAGCUACACAGAGCUGCAGUCUGUGAGGGAUGACUGUGAAGUACAGUCCAUACACACCCCCUCCUGCUGCCACCCUUUCUAGAACCAGAGGUGGGGGAAACUGGCUUCUCUCCUGCCCCCCGGCCAUCCUGGGAAUAAGGUAGUUCCAGAAGCUUUGCAAAUCCAUCCUGGAAUAAGGUAGUUCCUAGAGCUUCCUUCUAAUGGUAAGGAAGUCAUGGAGAUAAUAAAAUCAAAGAUGACCUUACCUGUGACAGUGUUCCCCCUUCAGAUCCUUCACUGUGACAGAGCAUAACUGGGUAAAUUUCUCCUUUCAUUUGAUCCACGACUUGUGGCCUUUUUUGUAACAUAAGUGCCUCUGAGCAUCUUUCCCCUCUCUGCUGGAAAGUGUCAAAUCACCCAGCAAAAUGGUAUGAGGCUGGGAUGUGGAGCCACACAUGUAUGACUCAAAAUGCACACACAUAACACACAGAUUACAACAGUACUUACCUCCAUGGGUUUACUGAGAAUAAUAAAUGCAGAACCUCCUACACAGUAAGCAUCCAAUGUUAUUAAUUAUGAAAAUAUAAAAAGAAAAAUUUUGCAUAUAUUUUUGAAGGUUCAUGAUUUCUAGGAUAUCCUAGGGUUAAGAAUCCUUAGCCUGGUUCUCCUGGUCAGGAAGACAACAGCUCUCACCAAUAUCCACAUUUUCUCUCUGAACUCCAUUAGCAUUUACUGAGUACCUGCUGUGUAUCGGCUGUUCUGACCCAUAUGAGCAUCUUGGUGACCAGUUGUUAACACACCAGAGUGUAAGGAUCAUUCCCAUUCCACUGAUGAGGGGAGAUAAGUUACCCAAGGCCUCAUGGUGGAGGAGCUGCUGUUAAAACCGGCCCUCUUAUUUAUUUUUUUGGUUAGACAAAAUACCUUCAUUUUGUUUAUUUAUUUAUUUAUUUUUAUUUAAUUUUUUUUG
This is a long non-coding RNA of Ictidomys tridecemlineatus (thirteen-lined ground squirrel), 2244 nucleotides long. RefSeq lists it as uncharacterized. NCBI's taxonomy places the organism in Eukaryota, Metazoa, Chordata, Mammalia, Rodentia, Sciuridae. The record is from RefSeq and is a predicted model, not a curated record.